CAACAAAUGGAGAAUUGGGAUUGUUAGAAAGAAGGAUCAACAAGACUUAUUUUUUGGAAGGAGGGAAUAAAAGAAGGAUGUAAUGUGACUUCUGCACUUCCAGCAUGGGAGAAUGGAUAGAUGAUAAUAUCAUUGUCUAACAGAGAAGGCAGAGAGGAAAAGUAGAUUUGGUGUUGACACUUUGGAUGUAUGGUGUUGUGGGACAAAGGAGACUGUUCAUUAAGCCAUUGGAAAUGUCUACAGUUUAGCCGGAGCCACUCACGUACGGGUCACCAGACUCUAGAUGAUUCUAAUCAUGUGAGCAGAUGGGAUGGCUCUGUGCUGUGAUGCAGAAUGGAAAGAAUGCUGAAGGCAGAGAAGGAUCAAGUUCCAGAAAAAAACAGAGAGGAAAAGAGGGAGCGAGACAGGGAGGAAAGAUAGGAAUGCACUUUGCAGGCUACGUCAGAAAUAAGUGAGUGUGAGAGAAAUGAGGUUUGAAAUGUCAGAGGUAGAAGCCAAUCUGUGGGAAAUUUUUUAAUCAUCGUACACACAUUUUUCAAAACUUCAAGAAAGAAUCCACAUUCAUGGACCUGAAUUCUAUUGGAAAGGAACAAAAUAAAUAUUUGUUGGAUGAAUAAAUAAAAUAAAACCCGGAAGUAUCAAUGAAAGGAAAUGAUAGAGAAGAAAAUGUGAGAGAUCUAGAAGAGAAGAGAACAGGAAAGUAAAUUUAGCAAAGAAACAUUUGCUUGGCAGUAUUAGGUGCUCAUUUGAGAUUUGUAGUUUAUAAAAAAGGAGUUAGGAUGAUGGAUUGAAGAGCUCAGUUUUGGGGGAGGUGUCAGAUUCAGGAUCUGGAAAGGAAGAGGUGCUGGUCUGAAAGGUGGUGGUUCUUACAGGGGAGAUUUUGGAGUUCUUGAUGACCAGUUCCAAAAGUGCUGGGAUUACAGGCGUGAGCCACCGUGUCUAGCCAUAUCUACCAAUAUUAUGAAUGAUAGGUAAUAUGCCACUAUUGUUUCAAUUAACAAUAUACUAAUUAGAGGUUGAAAAUAAUUUCAUCUAUUUCUGGGUUAAUUGUACUGCCUCGUCUAUGAAUUUAUUUUUUGACCAUUUUUAUUAGGUUGUCUUUUUCUCACUGAUUUAUAAAAAUUUAAGAUAUAUGCUGCAAAUAGUUCCUCAAAGAUUGCUAUUGUUUAACUUUAUUCAUAGUGUUUUUGUCCCUUAGGAGUAUUACAUUUUGACUACCUGUGGUGGGUGUGUUUGUACAUGUUUUUCGUAAAGGUCUUACUUAUUCUGAGGUUAUUAAAAAUGAUCUCUGAAAUUUUCUUCCGAUAAUUUAAAAAUAUUGAUUCUUUUACAGGGUGCAUUUUGUAAACUUUGUAAAAAUAAUACAUGCUUACUGUAUAAAUACACAAUACAGGAAAAUACAAAGAAUAACAUAAAAAUAAAGUAAAAUCCUACUACAUGGAGAUAGCCUUUUCGAGCAUCUCCUUAUACAUGAGAAGAAGAGUAAUGAUAAUGAAUGUUGUCUACAUGCCAAGUAUUGCACUAAGUAAUUCAUAAAGUUGAUGGGGUAGGCAUUUCAUCAUCCCCAUUUUACAGGCAAGAAAACUAAGGCUCAGAGAGAUCA
Molecule: long non-coding RNA, 1603 nt
Filed under: Homo sapiens (human)
Lineage: Eukaryota; Metazoa; Chordata; Mammalia; Primates; Hominidae
Description: HSALNT0337919
Source: RNAcentral